Molecule: ribosomal RNA, 850 nt
Filed under: Halomonas sp. JSM 112016
Lineage: Bacteria; Pseudomonadati; Pseudomonadota; Gammaproteobacteria; Oceanospirillales; Halomonadaceae
Description: bacterial SSU rRNA
Rfam family: Bacterial small subunit ribosomal RNA
Source: RNAcentral
AGAGUGCAGGAGAGGAAGGUAGAAUUCCCGGUGUAGCGGUGAAAUGCGUAGAGAUCGGGAGGAAUACCAGUGGCGAAGGCGGCCUUCUGGACUGACACUGACGCUGAGGUGCGAAAGCGUGGGUAGCAAACAGGAUUAGAUACCCUGGUAGUCCACGCCGUAAACGAUGUCGACUAGCCGUUGGGGUCCUCGAGACCUUUGUGGCGCAGUUAACGCGAUAAGUCGACCGCCUGGGGAGUACGGCCGCAAGGUUAAAACUCAAAUGAAUUGACGGGGGCCCGCACAAGCGGUGGAGCAUGUGGUUUAAUUCGAUGCAACGCGAAGAACCUUACCUACUCUUGACAUCGAGCGAACUUUCCAGAGAUGGAUUGGUGCCUUCGGGAGCGCUCAGACAGGUGCUGCAUGGCCGUCGUCAGCUCGUGUUGUGAAAUGUUGGGUUAAGUCCCGUAACGAGCGCAACCCUUGUCCCUAUUUGCCAGCGAUUCGGUCGGGAACUCUAGGGAGACUGCCGGUGACAAACCGGAGGAAGGUGGGGACGACGUCAGGUCAUCAUGGCCCUUACGAGUAGGGCUACACACGUGCUACAAUGGCCGGUACAAUGGGCUGCAAUCCCGCGAGGGGGAGCUAAUCUCAUAAAGCCGGUCUCAGUCCGGAUCGGAGUCUGCAACUCGACUCCGUGAAGUCGGAAUCGCUAGUAAUCGUGCAUCAGAAUGGCACGGUGAAUACGUUCCCGGGCCUUGUACACACCGCCCGUCACACCAUGGGAGUGGACUGCACCAGAAGUGGUUAGCCUAACUUCGGAGGGCGAUCACCACGGUGUGGUUCAUGACUGGGGGAAGUCGAACAAGAG